RNAcentral lists this ribosomal RNA (748 nucleotides) under Hygrophorus orientalis. RNAcentral describes it as "partial large subunit ribosomal RNA". Lineage: Eukaryota; Fungi; Basidiomycota; Agaricomycetes; Agaricales; Hygrophoraceae. The record is from RNAcentral.
GGCUGUCCGAGUUGUAAUCUAGAGAAGUGCUUUCCGCGUUGGACCGUGUACAAGUCUCUUGGAACAGAGCAUCAUAGAGGGUGAGAAUCCCGUCUUUGACACGGACUACCAGUGCUUUUGUGAUGCGCUCUCAAAGAGUCGAGUUGUUUGGGAAUGCAGCUCAAAAUGGGUGGUAAAUUCCAUCUAAAGCUAAAUAUUGGCGAGAGACCGAUAGCGAACAAGUACCGUGAGGGAAAGAUGAAAAGAACUUUGGAAAGAGAGUUAAACAGUACGUGAAAUUGUUGAAAGGGAAACGCUUGAAGUCAGUCACGUUGGCUAGAAAUCAACCCUUCAUUGAAGGGUGUACUUUCUGGCUUUACGGGUCAACAUCAAUUUUGACUGUUGGAUAAAAUUCAAUAUUUAUGCAUUUUCGGAUGUAUAGCCUUUGAUUGCAUACAACAGUUGGGAUUGAGGAACUCAGCAUGCCGCAAGGCCGGGUACAUUGUGACCACGUACAUGCUUAGGAUGUUGGCAUAAUGGCUUUAAUCGACCCGUCUUGAAACACGGACCAAGGAGUCUAACAUGCCCGCGAGUGUUUGGGUGGUAAACCCGAGCGCGUAAUGAAAGUGAAUGUUGAGAUCUCUGUCAUGGAGAGCAUYGACGCCCGGACCAGACCUUUUGUGACGGUUCCGCGGUAGAGCGUGUAUGUUGGGACCCGAAAGAUGGUGAACUAUGCCUGAAUAGGGUGAAGCCAGAGGAAACUCUGGUG